UUCUUACCCCGGCGGGAACUAAGCAUAUCAAUAAGCGGAGGAAAAGAAACCAACAGGGUUGCCCUAGUAACGGCGAGUGAAGCGGCAACAGCUCAAAUUGAAAUCUGGCUCUCUUUGGGGGUCCGAGUUGUAAUUUGUAGAGGGUGCUUCGGCAUCGGCCUUGGUCUAAGUUCUUUGGAACAAGACGUCACAGAGGGUGAGAAUCCCGUACGUGGCCAUUGGUCGUUGCCAUGUGAAGCCCCUUCGACGAGUCGAGUUGUUUGGGAAUGCAGCUCUAAAUGGGAGGUAAAUUUCUUCUAAAGCUAAAUACCGGCCAGAGACCGAUAGCGCACAAGUAGAGUGAUCGAAAGAUGAAAAGCACUUUGGAAAGAGAGUCAAAAAGCACGUGAAAUUGUUGAAAGGGAAGCGCUUACAGCCAGACUUGCCUGCAGUUGCUCAUCUAGGCUUUUGCCUGGAGCACUCUUCUGUAGGCAGGCCAGCAUCAGUUUGGGCGGCCAGAUAAAGGCUUUGGGAAUGUAGCACUCUCCGGAGUGUGUUAUAGCCCAGAGUGUCAUGUGGCCAGCCUGGACUGAGGUCCGCGCUUCGGCUAGGAUGCUGGCGUAAUGGCGGUAAGCGGCCCGUCUUGAAACACGGACCAAGGAGUCUAACAUCUAUGCGAGUGUUUGGGUGUCAAGCCCGGACGCGUAAUGAAAGUGAACGGAGGUGGGAACCUUUGGGUGCACCAUCGACCGAUCCUGAUGUCUUCGGAUGGAUUUGAGUAAGAGCAUAGCUGUUGGGACCCGAAAGAUGGUGAACUAUGCCUGAAUAGGGUGAAGCCAGAGGAAACUCUGGUGGAGGCUCGCAGCGGUUCUGACGUGCAAAUCGAUCGUCAAAUUUGGGCAUAGGGGCGAAAGACUAAUCCGAACCUUCCAUGUGCCC
This 918-nucleotide ribosomal RNA is filed under the name Neomassaria formosana. RNAcentral describes it as "partial large subunit ribosomal RNA". It matches the Rfam family "Eukaryotic large subunit ribosomal RNA", at positions 24 to 952 of the family's 3401-position model. Lineage: Eukaryota; Fungi; Ascomycota; Dothideomycetes; Pleosporales; Neomassariaceae. The record is from RNAcentral.